Molecule: non-coding RNA, 4210 nt
Organism: Oncorhynchus mykiss (rainbow trout)
Lineage: Eukaryota; Metazoa; Chordata; Actinopteri; Salmoniformes; Salmonidae
Source: RefSeq, a predicted model, not a curated record
UCAUUGUUCUAUCUGUGGUAACAUGGUGCCGGAAGUGUAAAGCCGGUUUCGGCUUUAGUAUCUUUUUUUUCUUACUAUUGGUCCAUUCCUGAGUUAUCUUGUCCAAUAGAUAGCGUUUUUAUAGUCUUUCGUCGCAGUGUGAGUUCGCGGGGGAAAUAAGAUGUUUUGUAGCUACAGUUUUAACUUGUAUAUCUAAAUUAAUAAACGCAUUUUGAAAUGUGUUAUUGGUGAGUUUAUCGUUAGAUAUUUUGAGUACUGACAUACUUAAACUGUUGAGAUCGGCUUUCAAACGAGUAACACGUGACUGGCUUGCUAGUUAACGGUAUUCAUACAAUUCAUGGUAAUCGUAGCUAGCCAGCUUUCGAUAGCCAGAAUAAGGAAUAUUUUGUACCGAGACAAAGAACUCACCUCUCUUGCGUGCUAGCUGUGUAACGUUUAGUACUUGCCGUUUGAAAAUGAGUCUCUUUAAUUUAGAGCGGUUUCGUUUUGACAAGAAUAAACCGACAUCAAACCAGGACAAAUACAGCGGUUCCGUAUGUCCAGAGUCGGGAAAGGAGAAUAAACCAGCCCGAGUAACAACACCUGUAUCCAACCUUGGAAAACCUGGGCGGGGAGUAGUAUUUGAAGAUGUCAUCAGUGACUCUGACGAUUUGGCAAGUGACUCGAGAAGUGAUAAAUUAACACAAAGGGUGACGGAACCUGUAAAGGAAUCACUGAAGCAAGAGGUAAGAGAGAUGACUGAGACAUCUGAUAAGGAAGACAAAAUGGACAAGGAUCUGGAAGAGAGACUGGCCAAACUGCAGGAAAUCUUCCCUCAAAGAGACGGGAAGGAGCUGCUGGAGGUGAUUAAAAGCACAAGCACUUUGGAUGGUGCCGUAGCCUCAUGCCUGAUGUUUGGUGACAAAGACUCAACGCGAAAGAGGAAACAGGAUGGCUCCAGCAGUUCCCAAGACAGCGACGUGGUUCCACAGCCCAGUAAGAAGAGGAGAUCGUCUCUGCCUGAAGACUCUGAGGAGGGAGCAGAGCCCAGCUGGGAGAGACGGGAGGCCAUGGUCAGGAAACUGCAGAGGAAGUUCCCCGACCAGGAUAAGGAGGAACUGAGGUCCGUGCUCCAGGAACAUGAGUGGAAUGUGGAUGACGCCCUGGAGGUGCUGCGCAUGUUCUCGGACACAGAUGAAGACUCUAGUGCACCUGAAGUAUCCAGCUCCCCUGAAGUCAAGCAAAAGGAACUGAAUGCCAAGAGUAAUGCCAAACCAAGCAAAGCAAAGAGUGAUGCCAAGCCGAGCAGAGACCGCUGGGAGUCUAAGGAUAGCAAGGAGGAGGCCAGGCGAAGCAAUGCUUCCGCUCUGAAAUGGCUGUUCAAGAAACCUGCACCUGAAUCUAGGCCUAACUCCUCGUCCUCCUCUUCGACUUCUACCAGCCAGAAGCUCUCCAACGGGACCAGCGUGGCUAAGAAGGAGGCUUCGGAGAGGAAGAGGAAGGUUCGCGCCUCAUACGAAAGGGCCAGCAGCUCGGAGGAUGAGGACACAGAAGGGGCCAGCAGUGAGUUUGAGGGCGAGGACGACGAGCUAGAUUUUGUGGCGGAUGACGCGGGCACAUCCACGCUCAAAGGCCAGAUCCUGAGCUUCUUCCAGGAGGCCUCGCUGGAUGAGCUGUCCCUCAUCGCCGGCUGCUCGUUGAAGAAGGCCCAGAAGAUUGUGGAGCUACGGCCCUUUGCUGUUUGGCAGGACCUGGAGGAGGUGUUCCACAAAGAGAACGGCCUGUCUGCAGAGCUGCUGCUGGGCUGCAGGGUGGUGCUGAGGGAGAGAGCCGUGGUCCAGGGCCUCAUGUCCAAGUGCCAGACCAUCUCGGGCAAGAUGGUAAAGGGAGUCACCCAGGUCAUAGACAAGGACAUGGGCUCCAUGACCCAGCCCUCAGUCCUCAACAGAAAGUUGCAGUUGAAACCCUACCAGCUGAUUGGGCUGAAGUGGCUUCUCCUGCUGCACCAACACAAGCUGAAUGGAAUCCUGGCUGACGAGAUGGGUUUGGGAAAGACCAUCCAAGCCAUAGCCUUCCUGGGCAGACUGCACCAGGACGGCAUCGACGGCCCCCACCUCAUCACUGUGCCCUCCUCCACCCUUGAUAACUGGGUUCGUGAGCUAAAGCUGUGGUGCCCUAGUCUCAAGGUGUUAGUCUACUACGGCUCUGUGGAGGACCGGCGGUACCUGCGACAUGACAUCCUCAGCAAUCAGGUGGACUUCAACGUCAUCGUGUCCACCUACAAUCUGGCCAUCGGAAACGACAGCGACCGCAGUCUCUUCCGCAAGCUCAGACUGAAGUAUGCCGUGUUCGACGAGGGCCACAUGCUGAAAAACAUGAACUCCCUCCGUUACCGCCACCUCAUGGCCAUCAACGCGGAGCACCGGCUGCUCCUGACCGGCACCCCUCUGCAGAACAACCUGCUGGAGCUGAUGUCGCUGCUCAACUUCAUCAUGCCCUCCAUGUUCUCCAGCAGCACCACGCAGAUAGUCAAGAUGUUCUCCAUGAAAUCCCACGAGGAACAGAGUCGUUUUGAGAGGGACCGCAUCGCCCAGGCUAAACUCAUCAUGAAACCUUUCAUCCUCAGACGAGUUAAGAGCGAGGUUCUUAAGCAGCUGCCAGCGAAGGAGGAGAGGCUGGAAUUCUGCACCAUGAGCGAGAAGCAGCAGCUACUUUACCAGAACAUGGUGGGCAAGCUCAAGAAGUCUGCCAUCGGAGAGAAGAAAGUGCUGUGCAACGUGAUGAUGCAGUUGAGGAAGAUGGCCAACCACCCUCUGCUCCACCGGCAGUACUACACCACAGAGCGACUCGAGGCCAUGAGUCACCUCAUGCUCAAGGAGCCGACCCAUUUGGACGCGGACCCGGUGCUGAUCCAGGAGGACAUGGCGGUGAUGUCGGACUUUGAGCUUCACCGGCUGUGCCAGCAGUACUCGUCGCUGCACAAAUACCAGCUGGAGAAAGACCUACUGCUGGACUCCGGGAAGUUCCACCUGCUCCAGACGCUACUGGCCACACUUAAGACCAAGGGAGACCGGGUGGUACUCUUCAGUCAGUUCACCAUGAUGCUGGACAUUGUGGAGAUUCUGCUUAAACACCUGGGCCACCGCUACGUCCGACUGGAUGGCUCCACACCCAUAGCAGACAGGAUUGUGCUGAUUGACGACUACAACAUGGACCCGGAGAUCUUUGUGUUUCUGCUGUCGACGCGGGCGGGUGGCCUGGGCAUCAACCUGACCUCGGCCAACGUGGUCAUCAUGCACGACAUCGAUUGUAACCCCUACAACGACAAGCAGGCAGAGGACCGCUGCCACAGAUUGGGCCAGACUAGUGUCUGUCCAUCUCCUGCUACAGGACUGUCCAGGUGAUCAAGCUGAUCCAUAAGGACACCAUAGAGGGUGGCAUGCUGCAGCUGGGCCAGAAGAAGCUCAAACUGGAGCAGGACAUGACCGCUGCCGAGGAGGGUGAUGAGGGCACCAUGUCUGAGGAUAUGGCCGUCCUCCUCAAGGCAUCGCUGGGCCUGUGAGGGUCCGGGAGCUCCCUCCCUGGAGUUUCAUUGGGACUCACCCUGGAGCAUCCCACCCCUGACUGACCUGACUCACUGACUGACUGAACCCUGCCAUAGGUGGGUCUUUCCCUGCUACUCACUCUGCCCUUGAGACCUGAGAUGCAGCUGUGCACUUCCAACAGUCUGCACUGGAGAUGAUAUGGUUGUGUUGUUGGGAUUAUUGGCCUUUGCUGUCAGUAGCAGAGAUGGCGGGUGUCGUUGAAGGUCAGUGGCGACUCUGCUCUGUGCAGCACCUGGGGUGUAUUCAUUAGGAAGCAAAAGUGCCAAAACGGGGAGGGACUAACCUCAACUUGUCCAAUCAAUUAUCGUUUUCAGUGCAAGCGGUUUUCUGUUGCAAAUUGUUUUGCUAUGGAUUGCACUAAUGAACACACCCCAUACUCUGCUCUGAAACAAUGCCAGGGAACAGUUUGUCAAAGCAACUCUGUCUGUGCUGCCUUAUAGUGAUACAAUGAAGUCCUGCAGGGGACUGACUUCCAGGUGGUGACAGAGCUGCUCUGUUUAUGUAUCAUUGUGAUGUGACGUACUGUUGUCAAAACUUUUACUCGUCCGUUUGUAAUUUUGAUGUCCUUGUUGCAACAUCAACAGGGUUUGUCGAAACAUGAAAUAAAGAUUUCAAUAUUUAUUUUC